GUCUUUUUGAAUUAAAUUUAAAGUCUAACCUGCCCACUGAAAAUUUUAAAUGGCCGCAGUAUUCUAACUGUGCAAAGGUAGCAUAAUCAUUAGUCUUUUAAUUGAAGGCUGGAAUGAAUGGUUGGACGAGAUAUUAACUGUUUCAUUUAAAUUUUUUAUAGAAUUUUAUUUUUUAGUCAAAAAGCUAAAAUAAAUUUAAAAGACGAGAAGACCCUAUAAAUCUUUAUAUUUUGUUUAUUUUAAUUAUAAAGAUUAUUUUUAUUAUAAUAAAUUAAAAUAUUUUAUUGGGGUGAUAUUAAAAUUUAAAAAACUUUUAAUUUUUAAAACCAUUAAUUUAUGAAUAAUUGAUCCAUUAAUAAUGAUUAAAAAUUUAAGUUACUUUAGGGAUAACAGCGUAAUUUUUUUGGAGAGUUCAUAUCGAUAAAAAAGAUUGCGACCUCGAUGUUGGAUUAAGAUAUAAUUUUGGGUGUAGCCGUUCAAAUUUUAAGUCUGUUCGACUUUUAAAUUCUU
Molecule: ribosomal RNA, 510 nt
Filed under: Drosophila basisetosa
Lineage: Eukaryota; Metazoa; Arthropoda; Insecta; Diptera; Drosophilidae
Description: partial 16S ribosomal RNA
Rfam family: Bacterial large subunit ribosomal RNA
Source: RNAcentral